Solanum pennellii is the source of this 1280-nucleotide long non-coding RNA. RefSeq lists it as uncharacterized. The record is from RefSeq and is a predicted model, not a curated record. The transcript has 2 exons. Lineage: Eukaryota; Viridiplantae; Streptophyta; Magnoliopsida; Solanales; Solanaceae.
CCCUAAUACUCAAUCCAUUUUUUCCUUCCCCAAAAGAAUUCAGUCUUCCCUGAUGUACGCAACAUUUCCCCACGCCUGCUCCAUCCGUUUUCCUCACGGCGUGGGGAAAAACAACGGUCCCCAAAAAGCAUGUCACCAGCAGCAAAUGCGACGACAACGGUUCCAGCAGCAGACGCGUGAACAGUGUACCCAUCUCGUCUCCUUCGAUGUCUUUUCAAACUCGAUCCUUUCUCCUUUUUGUGCUUGUACGAGCCCAACAACAGCUCCAGGCACGCGAGAAUCGUCCUUGGGACGACAAGAUUGCGCCAUGUCACCAUUCCAAGGAUGAUGGAACCAUCUCAACCAUCUAUCCCCUUUCUCCUUUUCUAGAAUAGAGCAACAAGCCUCAGAAAAAGUUGUUUAUCCCAAAUUGGUGCAAGGGACAAGUUUUCAAAUUUUUAAAUAACCCAUGGUUUUGGUCGAUUCUUCCCUCACCUCUUCCUUUCGGAAAACCCUAAUCGUCCUCUAUAUAUCUCUUCCUAUUCACUGUUUGAGGGGAGUUAGGGGGGAUUUUUAUUUUUUAGGCAGAGAAUUUUUUUUUAGUUUAAAAAAAGGGCGAGCAAUUUUUUUCUUUGGAAUUGAACUCCUUCAAGUUGGUUUACAACUAGCAGGAGGACACUGAGACAGACGGAACUUGGGAAAAGGAGUUUGAUUUUUCUAGUUGAAAUUUUUGUUGGGAAAUCCCUUGAUCAGGAACGUCAAGAGCAGCUAAGAAAAUAGUAUAGAAACAUGAUAAGACAUUCGAAACAGAGGUAUGUUCUAGUUUUCUGCCGAGAUAUAACGCAUUCCUUCUAGUUGCGUUGUGUCCUCUCAAACCCCGUUUGAAGUCGAGCUUUGUGGUUGGAAGAUUGUGUUUGUUUGGCUCGCUCUAUCUCCAGCUCGCGGCACUCAAAAAGUCCCUCCCAAAUCUCUGGAGACUCUUUCCCUCACAUUUCGGAAGAAUCAAAGACUUAUACUUCCAUCCAUCGAGUCAAUCCACGUAUUCAACGUACAGGUCCCGAAGCGGAAGAAGUUGAAGAGAUUAGGCCUCAAAGCACCAAAUUCAUUUGAAAGAUUGUAUUUCGAGCAUAAUCCCUUGUCGUCUUUUUUUAUUUUAUUUUAUUUAUUGAUUAUUGUAAGAUUAGUUUAGAAUAGGUACAAACACAAAUUGGUCAAAAAACCCAAAAAAUGUUGGUCUAAAUACCGGUCCAGGAGAACAUAUAACCCGGAUUUUGACUCAACUCUCUUUCUCUCUCUUUUUC